CGUCUAGGCGGGGAGUUAAGUUAGUUGUGAAAUCCAUGGGCUCAAUUCAUGAACUGCAUCUAAAACUGAUUCUCUUGAGUUCGGGAGAGGAAAGCGGAAUUCCCGGUGUAACGGUGAAAUGUGUAGAUAUCGGGAGGAACACCAGUGGCGAAGGCGGCUUUCUGGCCUAGAACUGACGCUGAAGCGCGAAAGCGCGGGUAGCGAACG
RNAcentral lists this ribosomal RNA (207 nucleotides) under uncultured bacterium. RNAcentral describes it as "partial 16S ribosomal RNA". It matches the Rfam family "Bacterial small subunit ribosomal RNA", at positions 568 to 774 of the family's 1533-position model. The record is from RNAcentral.